Molecule: long non-coding RNA, 334 nt
Organism: Sinocyclocheilus grahami
Lineage: Eukaryota; Metazoa; Chordata; Actinopteri; Cypriniformes; Cyprinidae
Exons: 2
Source: RefSeq, a predicted model, not a curated record
GUAGACUACAAAGCCAGCUGUUCUGACUCACAGACUAGUGGCUGGUCAUCCAUUGGCCCAAAAUGAGCGCUGCCUGCACAUGUUUCUACAGGAUGAGUCAGUGGAUAAAAACUACACCCCGUCCAAAAUUAGACAAGCCUGAACCGGUCUGGACUCUAUACACACACACACACACACACACACACACACAAAAACAUGGCCCACAAUCAAUAAGAAAGGUUUGAAUCAUUCUUAACAGCAACAGAGGCUUAGCAUGAACUAUAGGGUGUCCAAAACAUUUACAAAAUAAUUGAAAAUGUUCUCUAGCGUUAGUUGUGUCCCUUCACCUCUCCAA